This 30-nucleotide non-coding RNA is filed under the name Mus musculus (house mouse). Lineage: Eukaryota; Metazoa; Chordata; Mammalia; Rodentia; Muridae. The record is from RNAcentral.
UGGAUUCCUCAGAACAAUCAUUUUCAGAUU